This 301-nucleotide ribosomal RNA is filed under the name uncultured bacterium. Its description in RNAcentral is "bacterial SSU rRNA". It matches the Rfam family "Bacterial small subunit ribosomal RNA", at positions 333 to 632 of the family's 1533-position model. The record is from RNAcentral.
GGGUACCUACGGGGGGCAGCAGUGAGGAAUAUUGGUCAAUGGGCGGGAGCCUGAACCAGCCAAGUCGCGUGAGGGACGACGGUCCUAUGGAUUGUAAACCUCUUUUGUCGGGGAACAAAGGCGUCCACGGGUGGGCGGAUGAGUGUACCCGAAGAAAAAGCAUCGGCUAACUCCGUGCCAGCAGCCGCGGUAAUACGGAGGAUGCGAGCGUUAUCCGGAUUUAUUGGGUUUAAAGGGUGCGUAGGCGGUUUUUUAAGUUAGUGGUUAAACGUCGGGGCUUCACCUUGAUUUGCCAUUACUA